This 937-nucleotide long non-coding RNA is filed under the name Olea europaea subsp. europaea. Lineage: Eukaryota; Viridiplantae; Streptophyta; Magnoliopsida; Lamiales; Oleaceae. The record is from RNAcentral.
AUGCAAUACAAAUACAACCAAGGAAAAAUUACAAUAUAGAAGUCUCCAUAGCCAUGGGAUUGCAUUUUUUGAAAACCCAAUGCAUUCUGGCAAUUCUGAUUACAUUUGUCUCAACAUCAAUUUCAAGUUCUCUCCCAGAUGCCAAUUUCCAAAUAGCGAAGCCAAACUGUAAGAAUCUUUGUGGAAACGUACCCAUUCCCUUCCCUUUUGGCACUACCGAAGCAUGUUUCUAUAACAGGUCAUUCUUAGUCACUUGUAAUGAAACCUUCAGUCCUCCCAAAGCAUUUGUAACGAACUCGACCGUAGAAAUCACUAACAUAUCCCUGGAGGGCCAAUUGCGCGUCCUAAGCUACAUAGCGAAAGACUGUUAUUAUCAGAAUGGCAACAGAAGCCUGCAUAAUGCUCCCUUGAUACAAUUAAUCUGGGGCCUCUCCAUCAGUACUGCAAAUAAAUUCACCGUGGUUGGUUGCGAUACUAAUGGUUUUGUGCAUGGUCGGCGGUUUAACAAAAAUUUUUAUCGGACAGGGUGUAAUUCUUAUUGCGGAUCCAAGGAGGAUUUGGCAGACGGUAUGUGCUCUGGUCUAGGCUGCUGCCAAACUUCUAUCCCAAAAGACGUGCGGAGAGCAGAGAUGACAUUGCAGAGCUAUGAUAAAUUCAAAAAUGUGUGGGACUUCAACAAUUGCAGCUAUAGUUUCCUUGCUGAAGAAAGUGCAUUCAAUUUUACUCCAAGUAGUCUUUCCAGCCUGAGGAAUGUAAUAAGUCUUCCUAUGGUGGUUGACUGGGCGGUUGGAGAUGGAACUUGUGUGGAGGCUCAAAAUAACAUGUCUAGUUAUGCAUGUAAAAGUUUGAAUUCCAAGUGUAAAGAACCCGAUAAUGGUUAUGGGUAUCGCUGUUAUUGCGAUGAGGGUUUCCGAGGAAACCCAUACCUCGAUGGUGG